Molecule: ribosomal RNA, 274 nt
Filed under: uncultured bacterium
Lineage: Bacteria
Description: partial 16S ribosomal RNA
Rfam family: Bacterial small subunit ribosomal RNA
Source: RNAcentral
AUACGUAGGGUGCGAGCGUUAAUCGGAAUUACAGGGCGUAAAGCGUGCGCAGGUGGUUUUGUAAGUCAGAUGUGAAAUCCCCGGGCUUAACCUGGGAACUGCGUUUGAAACUGCAAGGCUAGAGUGUGGCAGAGGGGGGUGGAAUUCCGCGUGUAGCAGUGAAAUGCGUAGAUAUGUGGAGGAACACCGAUGGCGAAGGCAGCCCCCUGGGUCAACACUGACGCUCAGGCACGAAAGCAUGGGGAGCAAACAGGAUUAGAAACCCCAGUAGUCC